CAAGCGGUGGAGCGUGUGGUUUAAUUCGAUGCAACGCGAAGAACCUUACCUGGCCUUGACAUCCAGAGAACUUAGCAGAGAUGCUUGGUGCCUUCGGGAACUCUGAGACAGGUGCUGCAUGGCUGUCGUCAGCUCGUGUUGUGAAAUGUUGGGUUAAGUCCCGCAACGAGCGCAACCCUUAUCCUUUGUUGCCAGCGGUUCGGCCGGGAACUCAAAGGAGACUGCCGGUGAUAAACCGGAGGAAGGUGGGGAUGACGUCAAGUCAUCAUGGCCCUUACGGCCAGGGCUACACACGUGCUACAAUGGCGCAUACAAAGAGAAGCGACCUCGCGAGAGCAAGCGGACCUCAUAAAGUGCGUCGUAGUCCGGAUUGGAGUCUGCAACUCGACUCCAUGAAGUCGGAAUCGCUAGUAAUCGUAGAUCAGAAUGCUACGGUGAAUACGUUCCCGGGCCUUGUACACACCGCCCGUCACACCAUGGGAGUGGGUUGCAAAAGAAGUAGGUAGCUUAACCUCCGGGAGGGCGCUUACCACUUUGUGAUUCAUGACUGGGGUGAAGUCGUAACAAGGUAACCAAGGGCGAAUUCUG
Molecule: ribosomal RNA, 588 nt
Filed under: uncultured Pantoea sp.
Lineage: Bacteria; Pseudomonadati; Pseudomonadota; Gammaproteobacteria; Enterobacterales; Erwiniaceae
Description: bacterial SSU rRNA
Rfam family: Bacterial small subunit ribosomal RNA
Source: RNAcentral